RNAcentral lists this long non-coding RNA (3650 nucleotides) under Mus musculus (house mouse). RNAcentral describes it as "RIKEN cDNA 3632454L22 gene (3632454L22Rik)". The record is from RNAcentral. Lineage: Eukaryota; Metazoa; Chordata; Mammalia; Rodentia; Muridae.
ACAUGAUUUCGGGGGAUAGAACUCGUGCCAUUAGGUAUAUGUGGAAAACACCUUUACCUACUAAACCAUCUCGCUGUCCCCAAUUAAAUUGUAAUUAUGGCUUCUCUAGAAUAUAUUUAGUUUAGUAUUAGUAAUCAUCCAGGAGCUCACUAUAGCCUUUAAGCUAGUUAGGAUUUUUAAUUUGCUGGUGGAAAUACUUAAGUGGGUGGGUGGUAUAGCAUGAAAUCCUCCCUUGGCAUAUGGCCUGUACCUUGCUGAUAAGAAAACUGAGGACCGCUGGGUGGCGCCGGGAUACCUAAAGGUGCUUGUCUGUAGAAAGGAACGUUGUGACAGUCCAAGGCUCGGAGAUACGCUUCCAAUAUGCCUGGAAGGCCCCUGUGAAGAAACUGCGCGCAGGGAUCAAGAGCCUGCGGGGGUUGGGACUGUUGCUCGCGGCCACAGAGAUGCGGCAAGCGACUGGGUGGACGCCACGUGGGGCCACUAGGAGGUGGUUCCGGGAUCGCUCAUCCUGGAUCAUUGCCUUUCUCCAUCUGCACGCACGCAGGCCAAGCUGGACCACUCGGAGGUGCUGGAGCUGAUGGCGCGCACGAAUUGAGUUCUAGGCCUUAGGCAAGACCAAAGAGGAAAAGGAAAUCAACUUCUUCCUAGUUGAUAAAGACUGGAGGAAAAGCAACUGUUAAAACUGUGUUCAUAUGACCACACAUAGGAACUGUCAAGGAAGAUACCAAAGGACGAACUCUUCUUAAGGUAAAAGACAACAUAAAGCUAUGCAUCAACAAGCUGCAACAAGCUCCCGCUGCCAAGGAUGGAGUCCUCGCUACCAGGGAUGGAGCCCCCGCUUCCAAGGAUGGAGCCCCCGCUUCCAUGGAUGGAACCCCCGCUUCCGUGGAUGGAACCCCCACUGCCGUGGAUGGAGCCCCUGCUUUCAAGGAUGGAGCCCCCGCUGCCAAACCUUCCCUCCCAAGAUCAACCGUAUCUCCUCAAACUGUAAGCCAAACUAAACCUUUCCUCCCUUGAGUUGUUUCUGUUAGAUUUUCUCUCACAGUGAGGAGAAAAGUAAUAUGGAUGCUUAGCCCAUUUCUAAUAUUGUGUCACCGUCAUUUAUGAUUUAAACAUGGACUGGUUCUUUAGUAUUGGCAGAAAGUAGAAAGCUUGUAAUUUUUAGUCCCCAUCACAUAGGUAGGAGCUUAGGAAAAAUCCCACAUUCUCCUGGUGCUCUCUAACUAAGACCCGACAGGGAGAAAAGAUCUUCUGAGACUUUGCAGCUCUAUGGGUGCCUUCACAGAUACAUUUCAGACAGCUUCCAUAACUGUUCUUUGAGUCUAAAGCCCCAUGGUUGGUAACAACAGAGCUACUGCGAUGUUUCUAUUUAUAAAAGGUAAAUGUUCAAUUUUUCAAUUCCAAGAGACUUUCUUUGUGAGACCCAAUUAACCAAGAUCUGUUAGGCUAACAGAAAGUAAAUGACUCUUCAGAAGGCUGCGGACUUCAUCUAUGUAAAAUGUAAAUUUCCAGGAAAGUCUCCAUGGCACCUUGAGAGCUUAACCGAGGUAUCAUCUCAAAUUGUAAUCACUUGCUUAAAGAGGGGCUGAGAAGUUCUAUUAUUCCUUUGUGUUGAUUCGAUGAACUAAAACAACGACCUCAAUUUGCAAAUGAAUUUAGGAUGAGCUGAAAUGGGAAAAAAAAGGAGUGCUAUUCUCUUAUAAGAGAAACAAGAUACAAUAAAAUCUGAAAGACAUGUUUUGUACUGGUUCAGAACUGCUGUCUAAUGUGUGCCAAAUGUCCUACUUUAUAUUAGAUAAAAAUUAGAGGAGGCCAUUGUUUUGGAUUCUAAGCUCCUGCAUGAAGCCCUGACAGAACAUAAUAAAUAUCAAAAUAUUGUUACUUAUACUGAAGCAAGUUAUCUGACCUUCCAAAAAUGAGAGAUGAUAGUGCAGUUUCUCAAACAGGCCAGUUACAGUAGGCAUGAUAAUGAAGCUCUCCCUGUUCCCAAUGUUUCAUCCCCAAAGUAACCUGAAGUAACCUAAAGUUAACCAAUCAGUGUACUUUCUUUGGUUCUCUCUAUAUAUAUAUUGUCUGCCAAAGGACCUUGGAACAGCUAACCCAGUCUGUUAUUUAUGUAUGUUUCCUUCAGUUUCUGUUUACCAACCUUCUACUAACUUCAUUGAAGCAUUUAUUUGCUUCAUGAAACGAAGCAUUGCCUGAUUCAAGAACCACAAACCCACUCCAAAACCUUUAAGAUAAAUUUGCUGUAUUCUGCCAUUUGACAGCAGUCUCAUUCAGAUUGCCUAUGCACAAAUAACUUGAGUAUGCUUAAUAAAUAAUCAAACACAAUAAUUUUCUAGGCUUUAAGAGAAUAUUCUGUGCCAGAAUUUUUAUCUCUUGAAUAGGUUGGAUACCUAUAGAUAUGGAACAGAAUAAAUAAUGUUAGAAAUCAAAAGUCCAGGCAAUGUAUAAUAAUAUCUGCUUGUCAAGACUUGGAAGCAACUUGAAACAUGAAUUCAUAUGCAAGCCAAAUCCCAGGUAAAACACAAAAUUAGAAACCAUGAAGGAAAAAGACAGAAUUGUAAGGUAUGUGGAAUGGAGCAAAUUUGGCAACAAGCACCCAGAGACAUGGCAAGGGUGUUCAGGGGAGAAUAAACACUGCAAUGAGGAAGAGAGGGUAGCCAGAUAUUCAAAUAUAGUCUGCAUUUCUUCCUGGGUCAAAUGGGCAAGGCAAAGCAAAACCAGAGAAUUGGUCUCUUCAUUGAGAGAACAAUAUGUACAAAGUUGUCCUGGCCAGAGGAUUCAUGGAUCUUCUCUGGCUAGCCAUAAGGCUGGCUAAAAGCACUAGAAAGAACAUAAGGGAAAGAGGUAACAUCUAUCAACAAAAUGACAGUAUUUGUAACCUGUUAAAACUAACUCCAACUUUACAUUCUGGAAAUCUUAGCAUGAGUAAUUUCACCAAGCAACAUCUGCCACAAUCUGAAGUGAAUUCUAGCUUACUUAAUUCUACUUUAAAAACCAACAUAAGCAGAGAUCUGAUUAAAAUAUGCUAACUGUAUAUAGUGAAAAAAUGAUGUAGCUACUUUUAAAGGAUAAAUUCAAUUUUUACACAUAAAAUAUCUAUGGUAUAUAAUUUUUAAAUUUAACUAGAAUAUACAGGUAAGCCCACAUCAUAUUUGUAAAUGACCUAUGUGUGUUUGAUGAUUUUCUUAUACCAAUUAUUCAAUAAUUUCAAUUUCUUCUUUCUAUAGAUGCAGAAAAUUCACCAAAGAUCUAGCUGUUAUAUUGCUCACGCCUGAAUGUUCUAAAAUUUCUACUUUGUUGUCCUUUAAAUAACAAACAAUAACACUAAAAAUAAAAAAAGAGCUAAUUCAUGUUGCCCAUUUCCCUCAGGUGUAAGCAAGUGAUUCUCAAAUCUCACACUGCAUUAGAACUAUCCAGGUACUUUAAGAGCUAUAGAGAUUUUCUUUUAAUAAUUCAUGGUAGGUAUGAACACAAAAAUAUUGUACAAAUAUUCCAAGUGAGUCUAGUAUGCACACAAAAGUGGUACUCCACCAAGAACACAGACUAAAAACCAGACUGCUUGAACUUGAGUCUUGGCUCUGUCAUUUACUCUUCAUAUAGGCAAAAUAGUUAAGACUCACGGCUCACCUGAAAAAAAAAAAAAA